Cricetulus griseus (Chinese hamster) is the source of this 634-nucleotide non-coding RNA. Lineage: Eukaryota; Metazoa; Chordata; Mammalia; Rodentia; Cricetidae. The record is from RefSeq and is a predicted model, not a curated record.
CAUGACUGGCCAGCCUCGCUAUUGCUUCCUCCGCCCAGCUCUGACCGACACACUCCCUUCCCCUGGACCCCAAGGCUUGCUUCAGGGACCCACUGGGAGUAGGAGGGACAUACUUGGGUUCCCAGCCUUCUUGGUGACAGAGCAGUGAUAGAGUUCGACCACCACCCAGAUCUGCUUCCUGACAUCCUGCAAAGGCCAGACACCCUCGAGGGAGACGCCAGAGCCAUCACAACCCAGCCAGCCUUUGUUUCUUUAAGAAUGGCUAACUUGUGCAGCUGCCAUAGGCAGGCAGGGGUGGGUCUGGUGGUACUGGAGCCUGCUGGUCGUGACCCCAUGCCCAGUCAGUGGAACAGGAUCCCAGGAACAGUGGGAGGAGGCUGAGGGCUGGGAGGUGGAAGCUGAGGUCAGAGUCUCUGCUCAAAUGGGAUGCUGCUUAUUAAGUGAUGGAGUGAGUGUCUCCCUGACUGUCAGCUCUUCCUCAGUAAAGUUACCUGUUGUUGCUCCUUCUCAUUUUAUUUUAUUUAUAUAUGAUUCAGUAGUACUAGGUGUUGAAUUUAGGGCCUCAAUAUGCUGAGCAGAUGCUCUACUACUGAGCCACACCCUAGCCCGUCACUGGGGAAUUCCAGGCAGGUGC